RNAcentral lists this ribosomal RNA (253 nucleotides) under uncultured bacterium. RNAcentral's name for it is "partial 16S ribosomal RNA". It matches the Rfam family "Bacterial small subunit ribosomal RNA", at positions 524 to 776 of the family's 1533-position model. The record is from RNAcentral.
UACGGAGGGCGCAAGCGUUGAUCGGAAUCACUGGGCGUAAAGCGCGUGCAGGCGGCUUGGUAAGUCGGGUGUGAAAUCCCGGAGCUCAACUCCGGAACUGCACCCGAUACUGCCUCGCUAGAGUCCCGGAGAGGAUGGCGGAAUUUCCGGUGUAGAGGUGAAAUUCGUAGAUAUCGGGAGGAACACCAGCGGCGAAGGCGGCCCUCUGGACGGUGACUGACGCUCAGACGCGAAAGCGCGGGGAGCAAACAGG